Molecule: ribosomal RNA, 500 nt
Filed under: uncultured bacterium
Lineage: Bacteria
Description: bacterial SSU rRNA
Rfam family: Bacterial small subunit ribosomal RNA
Source: RNAcentral
AGAGUUUGAUCCUGGCUCAGGACGAACGCUGGCGGCGCGCUUAACACAUGCAAGUCGAGCGAGGGCUCUUCUCCCGCAAGGGAGGGGAGUUCCUAGCGGCGAACGGGUGAGUAACACGUGGGCAACCUUUCCUAUCGCGGGGGAUAACAGCGGGAAACCGCUGCUAAUACCGCAUGUCGUCAUCGGUCGCAUGGCCGGUGAAAAAAGCAGCAAUGCACGAUGGGGUGGGCCCGCGGCCUAUCAGCUAGUCGGUGGGGUAACGGCCUACCGAGGCGAUGACGGGUAGCUGGUCUGAGAGGACGACCAGCCACACGGGGACUGAGACACGGCCCCGACUCCUACGGGAGGCAGCAGUGAGGAAUCUUCCGCAAUGGGCGAAAGCCUGACGGAGCGACGCCGCGUGUGGGAUGAAGUCCUUCGGGAUGUAAACCACUGUUGGAGGGGAAGACUUCGACGGUACCCUCCGAGAAAGCCCCGGCUAACUACGUGCCAGCAGCCGC